Molecule: ribosomal RNA, 460 nt
Filed under: uncultured bacterium
Lineage: Bacteria
Description: partial 16S ribosomal RNA
Rfam family: Bacterial small subunit ribosomal RNA
Source: RNAcentral
CCUACGGGAGGCAGCAGUGAUGAAUAUUUGUCAAUGGACGAGAUUCUUAACCAUCCAAUUAUCUUUAAUGAUGACUGCCCUAUGGGUUGUAAACUUCUUUUAUAUGGGAAUAAAAUGUUCCACGUGUGGGAUUUUGUAUGUACCAUAUGAAUAAGGAUCGGCUAACUCCGUGCCAGUAGCCGCGGUAAUACGGAGGAUCCGAGCGUUAUCCGGAUUUAUUGGGUUUAAAGGGAGAGUAGGUGGAUUGUUAAGUCAGUUGUGAAAGUUUGCGGCUCAACCGUAAAAUUGCAGUUGAAACUGGCAGUCUUGAGUACAGUAGAGGUGGGCGGAAUUCGUGGUGUAGCGGUGAAAGGCUUAGAUAUCACGAAGAACUCCGAUUGCGAAGGCAGCUCACUGGACUGCAACUGACACUGAGGCUCGAAAGUGUGGGUAUCAAACAGGAUUAGAUACCCGAGUAGUC